Molecule: non-coding RNA, 600 nt
Organism: Odocoileus virginianus texanus
Lineage: Eukaryota; Metazoa; Chordata; Mammalia; Artiodactyla; Cervidae
Source: RefSeq, a predicted model, not a curated record
GGGGUGAGAGGAGAAACCUGCCGCCGCUCGCCGCCUCUUUGUCUGCUCCGGGACUUGGAACAAAAGGGGGAACUCUGAUGAACUCUCUCUCCGCCCCUCUCCCCCGGACGCGCGGGUAUCUCCCUCUCGCAACUUUGUCGCCGCGACUUUCUCCGCUGUCAGGCCAUACAAAAGUGUCCGAGCGCCUCGAGGACCGCGACAAGGGAAGUGUCUCUUCAAAGUGCGACCAAGUGGGGAAGAAGGUGUGAUUACUGUGGUCAGCAUCUAGAAAACAUCAGAAGUGCUCCCACCUCCUUCUCUGCAUCCUUCUUACUGGAUCUUUCUGUCAGUGAACAUUGUGGAAGUACCAUUACCACAUCGUCAUUCCUGAAUGAAAAGUUGCCAAACUUUUUUCUUUGGAGUUGCUUCAAAGUUGUUGGGAUUUUUGAUGAUGCCUUCCCUAUGUGGAUUACUACUGUUUGAUCACUGGGAAUUGUCCAUCUUAAAGAAGAUGAUUUUGCUAUCUGGAAACUUAUGCCCACGUCUUUGACUGCGGGUCAGAAUUGCUUUCCUCACAGUCUGAUUGGGAGAGUUGUUAAACCUUGGAAUGUUCUUCUGAGC